AUUGAACGCUGGCGGCAUGCUUUACACAUGCAAGUCGAACGGCAGCACGGGUGCUUGCACCUGGUGGCGAGUGGCGAACGGGUGAGUAAUGCAUCGGAACGUGCCCAUGAGUGGGGGAUAGCCCGGCGAAAGCCGGAUUAAUACCGCAUACGCCCUUAGGGGGAAAGCGGGGGAUCUUCGGACCUCGCGCUAUUGGAGCGGCCGAUGUCGGAUUAGCUAGUAGGUGAGGUAAAGGCUCACCUAGGCGACGAUCCGUAGCUGGUCUGAGAGGAUGAUCAGCCACACUGGGACUGAGACACGGCCCAGACUCCUACGGGAGGCAGCAGUGGGGAAUUUUGGACAAUGGGCGCAAGCCUGAUCCAGCCAUGCCGCGUGAGUGAAGAAGGCCUUUGGGUUGUAAAGCUCUUUCAGGUGGAAAGAAUAGCGCUGUUUAAUAGAUGGCGUUGAUGACGGUACCACAGAAGAAGCACCGGCUAAC
Molecule: ribosomal RNA, 478 nt
Filed under: uncultured bacterium
Lineage: Bacteria
Description: bacterial SSU rRNA
Rfam family: Bacterial small subunit ribosomal RNA
Source: RNAcentral